This 911-nucleotide long non-coding RNA is filed under the name Equus asinus (donkey). RNAcentral describes it as "lncRNA (ENSEASG00005038086.1)". The record is from RNAcentral. Lineage: Eukaryota; Metazoa; Chordata; Mammalia; Perissodactyla; Equidae.
GGGGAUCCGAACCGGCGAACCCCGGUUGCCAAAGGGGAACGUGCGAACUUAACCACUGUGCCACCGGGCCAGCCCCUCCAUCACAUUUUAAUGUAAAUUCCUAGAAGUGAAAUUCCUGGAUCAAAGCACACAUGUGAAUUUUAAAUUGCCAAUAUCCUUCCAAAAGGGCUGUACCAAUCUACCUUCUUUCAGCAACAUUCAAGAAGCCAAAGCUGAGAGACAACAUGGCUUGCUCAAGUUCCCACGGAUAAGAAGUAGUGGAUCCGGACUCCUUACCCAGCACUCCAGGUGCAGAGUGAUCUUUGACUGUGAAAUGAUUGCUUAAUCUGCAAACUGAAUUGUUGAAGAUUUCCUCCAGAAACAAUUGCUUCUGCCUCUGCUCCCACUAGACGUCCCAGACUCAGUUCCUCACCUGGCCACCAGGCCACAGCCCAGCACCUUGGGAGCAGCGUGGCUACUGAUGUCUGCUCUCAGGGCAUUCUUGCCUCAUGAUUUCAUUGCCCCCUGAUCUACUGGUUCUUGUAUUUCUAUGCAGAGGGUCCUUGGAGACUUUUCUUAUGCGACCAGAGAUGCCUCAAAGAGUGUGUGCUAGAGAGCCACACUGCCAGAAGCAGAAAUCUGACUGUGGUGGUGUGUACUGUGUUCACUUGGUUAAGCUGGAACUGUUUCCCCAAAUCCUCUCCUUCUGCAGUUGUGGGUGUGAGUUGACCAAGAGCAACCUGUGUGAGAUACAGAAUUUUCCUACUAUUUUCUGAAACUUGUAGUCACACGUGGUGACAAAAAUAUACAAAGGUGUCCUACAGGAUCAAGUUAGUCCUUGCUUUCCUCUGUUCCAAUCCAGCUCUUCUUCCCAAACACUGACCUGUUGACCAACAGCAGCCUCACACCUGUGACCAGACACAUAGGUAGUA